RNAcentral lists this long non-coding RNA (568 nucleotides) under Felis catus (domestic cat). RNAcentral's name for it is "lncRNA (ENSFCAG00000042744.2)". Lineage: Eukaryota; Metazoa; Chordata; Mammalia; Carnivora; Felidae. The record is from RNAcentral.
CUCAGUUGCUUUUGCUAAUGAGACAAACCGCUCUGUUCCAUAAAUUACAGCAGGGUGGAGAAUGAAGCAGAAAUUACUGUGUUUUUCUCCUUAUCUGCAGAAAAGGUCACUGAAGGAGAGAAGUUCUGCAUGUGAUACAGUGAUUGAACCUACAGACACCACGGAUCAGGAAAAGUGCCCAUAGGAAGGCAGAGCAUGGGGUGGAAUCAGACAGCUGUGUGUGGUAUGGACAGAGGUAAGCUGAGCAGGGAGAGCCACAGGAAAGUGUCCACAGCCUGAGAGGGGCUGAAACUGGUAAGACUGCUCUGAAAAUAUACCCAUGGAACUGGCCAAGGACUCCUCACAGAGUGUUCCAACAUACAUAUUUUUAACUUUUUAUUUAUUUAUUUUUGGUGGCAAAGAGGAAAGUUCAAGGAACACAGUGAUAAAAGAAUGUGUGUGAUUGGAUGUCUUGAGAGAACACAUCUUCACCAAUGUAACCAUACUUUCUGUGCAACAACUUGGACUUCCCCAGAAAUGCCCCCAGGGAGAACUCAGGAGACACAGAAGAAAAGAUGAAGAAUGCAGC